Molecule: long non-coding RNA, 1863 nt
Organism: Triticum aestivum (bread wheat)
Lineage: Eukaryota; Viridiplantae; Streptophyta; Magnoliopsida; Poales; Poaceae
Exons: 4
Source: RefSeq, a predicted model, not a curated record
CCACGCGAGUUCUCUCUCACUGUCCGUUGCUCAUGUUUACUGCUGCUUCGAUUUCUUUGUGAUACAAAUGCACUGAUAAACAUACUGGUUUAUAUUUUAUAUGGUCGUUCGGUACACAGGAAACAGUGUAUGUACAUAACAUUUUUGGAUUUAAUUUUGGAAGGUUCACACAUCCAUAGUAGAGAAAGAAUAGUAGCAAGUCCAAGCUUUCUUUGAGUGGAGGUACAUAACCAAUUCAAAUGCUUGUUUUGGUUAUGUUUAAGGGAACUCAUAAUUUUUAUGUUUGUCCGCUGUUAGCUAUGUAAAACAACUCAAUAAAAGUUCACUUUUCAAUGCUUUAAUAGUUCAAUUGGUAAAAAUAGUAGGUGUUCAUUCUACAAAAAAUCACUGACUUUUUUAUAUGUAAAGAAAAGAAAUGGAAAUCUGUAAGUUCAUAGAGGGACAUAUAUAUGGGGAACUUGCGUCCAGCACACGAGCAUUUGCGUCCACCACUAAGGGCAUUUGCAUCCCGCACACGAGCUACAUGCUUGACAGUUGCACACUGCCGCCAUGAACAUGCACAAAUGAUAUUAAGUAGAAGUUUGUCAGUUCAGUUUUUUUAUUGAUUUACCUUGUUUAAGUAGUAGUGCAGCAAUAAAAUGUGUAGUUGUACUGAAGUUUUAGUUGUUAUGUGGGGAACCCGGAGGCCAUUUAUUUUGGUUUACAAUUCAUCUUGUCUGUUCUUUUCAGUCUGUAUGCUUUAUUGUGCAUAAUCUUGAGGAAAUCCCCAAAAAUCAUGUGUGCACUCAAGGUAAUUAAGUGGCUUUGUAAAUUCUGACAGUCCAUCCCAGACUAAGCAAACAGUACAUGUUAGUCUUGGUUUGUGGUUAGACAUGCAAUCUGGUUUCAUAGAUGCUUCUGCUCAGACUGGAAAUACUAUGUUUUAGAUUCAGAGUUUAUAACACAUCAUUGGAUUCGCCAAGGCCGUGUCCUCUGAGAUAAGAAGAGCGACAAGGAGAUGGAGAGCUCGGUCUUUUUUUCGUGGAGCUGGCGCUGCUGCAGUACGGCCUAGUCCAGUCUAAGCCCUCCAUGGUUGCUGCUGCUGUUUCGGCAACUAGGCUCACCCCUGAAGAAGACCCCUAUGUGGAUUGACAAUCUAAAUUAUAGAUUUUCCAGAUCGGGGAAGGUGCGGAGCUUGCCUGAUUGCUAGCUAUUUUGCAUGUUCUGUUUACCCACUAUGCAUGUGUUGCUGCUUCUAGGAGCCCUAAAUUUAGGGUCAGUACCACGCCGACAAGCCAGGCAGUCGGCCUUUGCACCACGAACUGCUGCAGUUUGAUCUUGCGCAAGUGGGAAAUUCCCUCAUGCCGAGUGUAUCAGUAACACCCUACGCUCCAAGCACGUCUCCUCCUGGUCGCCCAUCAGUUCUCUUGUUCCUUGCUGCUUCUCCUAACAUCGCCAUAAAAGUUUUGCUAGGAAAAAAAUGUGUGGAUAAAAAGAAGAUUGCAGUGACAGUAGUUUUGGUUGCCAUUUCUCUCUAUAGCAGAUUGCAUCCGCACAAAAAAUGCUACUGCAGUUUACUCUAUGUGUAAAAUGAAUAAGGUUCAAUUCACAAAAACAUGUGGAAGUUCGUUUGGGAAACUCUGCAUUCUAUUUGAUUAUGCCAAGAUGUACAGGAUGACUAUUCUUUAUUGUGUGCCUUUAGCACAAUUUAAAUUUACUAGUUGACCAUAUGUGUAAUGGUUUUUUUUUGUUUAUAGGAAAACUAAUAUGUGAGCAUAUUUCAGGUUUCUUUGUGAACUUGUAAUGUUACUGUACAUGAACUUGUACAUUACCUUGUUAUCAGUUCAUGUGUAUGUGUGUUGGUAACCACUUACCGUUGUAUUA